GCCAGACUCCUACGGGAGGCAGCAGUGGGGGAUAUUGCACAAUGGGGGGAACCCUGAUGCAGCGACGCCGCGUGGGUGAAGGAGCGUUUCGGCGCGUAAAGCCCUAUCGGCAGGGAAGAAGGAGGACGGUACCUGACUAAGAAGCCCCGGCUAACUACGUGCCAGCAGCCGCGGUAAUACGUAGGGGGCAAGCGUUAUCCGGAUUUACUGGGUGUAAAGGGGGCGCAGACGGCAGCGCAAGCCAGGAGUGAAAGCCCGGGGCCCAACCCCGGGACUGCUCUUGGAACUGCGCGGCUGGAGUGCAGGAGGGGCAGGCGGAAUUCCUGGUGUAGCGGUGAAAUGCGUAGAUAUCAGGAGGAACACCGGUGGCGAAGGCGGCCUGCUGGACUGCGACUGACGUUGAGGCCCGAAAGCGUGGGGAGCAAACAGGAUUAGAUACCCCAGUAACA
RNAcentral lists this ribosomal RNA (449 nucleotides) under uncultured bacterium. RNAcentral's name for it is "partial 16S ribosomal RNA". It matches the Rfam family "Bacterial small subunit ribosomal RNA", at positions 330 to 795 of the family's 1533-position model. The record is from RNAcentral.